GCUCAGUAACACGUGGUUAAUCUGCCCUUGGGUGAGGAAUAUUCCCGGGAAACUGGGGCUAAUACCUCAUAGUGGAUAUAAUCUGGAAUGGUAUAUCCUCGAAAGAUUUAUCGCCCAAGGAUGAGACUGCGUCCGAUUAGGUUGUUGGUGGGAUAACGGCCUACCAAGCCUUUUAUCGGUACGGGUUGUGGGAGCAAGAUCCCGGAGAUGGAUUCUGAGACAUGAAUCCAGGCCCUACGGGGCGCAGCAGGCGCGCAAACUUUACAAUGCGAGCAAUCGUGAUAAGGAAACCCUGAGUGCCUGUCGAUGCAGGCUGUUCAUAUAUUUAAAUUGUAUGUGAAGAAAGUGCAGGGCAAGACCGGUGCCAGCCGCCGCGGUAAUACCGGCUGCUCGAGUGAUGGCCACUAUUACUGGGUUUAAAGCGUCCGUAGCUUGAUUUUUAGGUCUCUUGGGAAAUCUUUUGGCUUAACCACAAGGCGUCUAAGAGAUACCGGGAAUCUUGGAACUGGGAGAGGUAAGCCGUACUUCGGGGGUAGGAGUGAAAUCUUGUAAUCCUCGAGGGACGACCUAUGGCGAAGGCAGCUUACCAGAACAGCUUCGACAGUGAGGGACGAAAGCUGGGGGAGCAAACGGGAUUAGAUACCCCGGUAGUCCCAGCCGUAAACAAUGUGCGUUAGGUGUGUCGGUUAUCACGCGUAACUGAUGCGCCGAAGAGAAAUCGUGAAACGCACCACCUGGGAAGUACGGUCGCAAGGCUGA
Molecule: ribosomal RNA, 759 nt
Filed under: uncultured archaeon
Lineage: Archaea
Description: bacterial SSU rRNA
Rfam family: Archaeal small subunit ribosomal RNA
Source: RNAcentral